Molecule: long non-coding RNA, 107 nt
Organism: Sinocyclocheilus grahami
Lineage: Eukaryota; Metazoa; Chordata; Actinopteri; Cypriniformes; Cyprinidae
Exons: 3
Source: RefSeq, a predicted model, not a curated record
UGUUGUCUCUGGGAGGUUCACAAAGCUCUCAGAUUUCGUCAAAAGUAUCUUAAAUUGUGUUCCGAAGAUGAACGAAGGUCUUACGGGUUUGGAACGACACGAGGCUG